RNAcentral lists this ribosomal RNA (330 nucleotides) under uncultured bacterium. Its description in RNAcentral is "bacterial SSU rRNA". It matches the Rfam family "Bacterial small subunit ribosomal RNA", at positions 66 to 422 of the family's 1533-position model. The record is from RNAcentral.
GCGGGCGUAGCAAUACGUCAGCGGCAGACGGGUGAGUAACGCGUGGGAACGUACCUUUUGGUUCGGAACAACACAGGGAAACUUGUGCUAAUACCGAAUAAGCCCUUACGGGGAAAGAUUUAUCGCCGAAAGAUCGGCCCGCGUCUGAUUAGCUAGUUGGUGAGGUAACGGCUCACCAAGGCGACGAUCAGUAGCUGGUCUGAGAGGAUGAUCAGCCACAUUGGGACUGAGACACGGCCCAAACUCCUACGGGAGGCAGCAGUGGGGAAUAUUGGACAAUGGGCGCAAGCCUGAUCCAGCCAUGCCGCGUGAGUGAUGAAGGCCCUAGGG